GGGGAUGAAAGGAUUUCGACGGGGGUUUUAAGCCGUGAUAAGCGAGCAGCGGUGAGGCACCGCUAUAAAAGCUUCAAGUUUAGAAAUAAACGACAACAAUACAGUUUUAAAGGCUGCUUAAUUUAGCAGCAGUUCCCUCGGGAAGUACUGCGGUCCCGAACGGAGCUUCAAACAGCAGUAAAUGUGAAUAAGCGACCGCCUUGUAGCUUAUCACACAUAACAGGGCUACCCGAAUUCAAAGCCUGUCAUUAGGCGUUUUAUAAGGGGAAUUACAAUUUAAUGACUACGCUCGUAGAAAGUUGCGGGGAGAGAUUUUCGGACGCGGUUUCGACUACCGCCAUCUCCACCA
This 349-nucleotide transfer-messenger RNA is filed under the name Acutalibacteraceae. RNAcentral's name for it is "Fimenecus sp900315985 Standard tmRNA". It matches the Rfam family "transfer-messenger RNA". From Rfam's summary of the family: Bacterial tmRNA, also known as 10Sa RNA or SsrA, is named for its dual tRNA and mRNA-like properties. RNAcentral also lists the same sequence under 1 other name. Lineage: Bacteria; Bacillati; Bacillota; Clostridia; Eubacteriales. The record is from RNAcentral.